AUUGAACGCUGGCGGCAGGCCUAACACAUGCAAGUCGAGCGGAUGAAGGGAGCUUGCUCCUGGAUUCAGCGGCGGACGGGUGAGUAAUGCCUAGGAAUCUGCCUGGUAGUGGGGGAUAACGUCCGGAAACGGGCGCUAAUACCGCAUACGUCCUGAGGGAGAAAGUGGGGGAUCUUCGGACCUCACGCUCUCAGAUGAGCCUAGGUCGGAUUAGCUAGUUGGUGGGGUAAAGGCCUACCAAGGCGACGAUCCGUAACUGGUCUGAGAGGAUGAUCAGUCACACUGGAACUGAGACACGGUCCAGACUCCUACGGGAGGCAGCAGUGGGGAAUAUUGGACAAUGGGCGAAAGCCUGAUCCAGCCAUGCCGCGUGUGUGAAGAAGGUCUUCGGAUUGGAAAGCACUUUAAGUUGGGAGGAAGGGCAGUAAGUUAAUACCUUGCUGUUUUGACGUUACCAACAGAAUAAGCACCGGCUAACUUCGUG
RNAcentral lists this ribosomal RNA (484 nucleotides) under uncultured bacterium. RNAcentral describes it as "partial 16S ribosomal RNA". It matches the Rfam family "Bacterial small subunit ribosomal RNA", at positions 30 to 507 of the family's 1533-position model. The record is from RNAcentral.